RNAcentral lists this long non-coding RNA (224 nucleotides) under Lathyrus oleraceus (garden pea). RNAcentral describes it as "Pisum sativum (pea) long non-coding RNA (PSAT_LNC025692)". The record is from RNAcentral. Lineage: Eukaryota; Viridiplantae; Streptophyta; Magnoliopsida; Fabales; Fabaceae.
UUAGUUUUAUUGUCCAUGAAGCAACCUCUCCCCAACUUGAAGAAUUCUCCCUUUCAUUUUAAAAACACUCUUCAUUCUUGGCAAGGAACAUUAAUCAUGAUUAAUUUAAGGUUUUGUUUCCAAAGAAAAACUAGAAUGGGUCAAUUAUGAACUUUUGAUUUUUGGAUAGAAGAUAACAAAUUCACCAAGUGAUUUACUUAGUGAUUUGUUUGAGUUCAUAAUUG